ACCAUGCUGAAUAUACCGGUUCUCGUUAGAUCACCGAAGUCAAGCAUCAUUAUCAGUACUUGGGUGGGUGACCACCUGGGAACACCGCUUGCCGUU
Non-coding RNA from Caerostris extrusa, 96 nucleotides. Lineage: Eukaryota; Metazoa; Arthropoda; Arachnida; Araneae; Araneidae. The record is from the annotation of a GenBank genome assembly.